GACGAACGCUGGCGGCGUGCUUAACACAUGCAAGUCGAACGGUAAGGCCCUUCGGGGUACACGAGUGGCGAACGGGUGAGUAACACGUGGGUGAUCUGCCCUGCACUUCGGGAUAAGCCUGGGAAACUGGGUCUAAUACCGGAUAGGACCACUGCCUGCAUGGGUGGUGGUGGAAAGCUUUUGCGGUGUGGGAUGGGCCCGCGGCCUAUCAGCUUGUGGGUGGGGUGAUGGCCUACCAAGGCGACGACGGGUAGCCGGCCUGAGAGGGUGACCGGUCACACUGGGACUGAGAUACGGCCCAGACUCCUACGGGAGGCAGCAGUGGGGAAUAUUGCACAAUGGGCGCAAGCCUGAUGCAGCGACGCCGCGUGAGGGAUGACGGCCUUCGGGUUGUAAACCUCUUUCAGCACCGACGAAGCGCAAGUGACGGUAGGUGCAGAAGAAGGACCGGCCAACUACGUGCCAGCAGCCGCAGUAA
RNAcentral lists this ribosomal RNA (478 nucleotides) under uncultured bacterium. RNAcentral's name for it is "partial 16S ribosomal RNA". It matches the Rfam family "Bacterial small subunit ribosomal RNA", at positions 28 to 523 of the family's 1533-position model. The record is from RNAcentral.